This 64-nucleotide transfer RNA is filed under the name Teredo sp. TBF02. Its description in RNAcentral is "tRNA-Pro". Lineage: Eukaryota; Metazoa; Mollusca; Bivalvia; Myida; Teredinidae. RNAcentral also lists the same sequence under 2 other names. The record is from RNAcentral.
UAGAAUAUAGUUUAAGAAGAAUUGGAGCUUUGGGAGUUUCGGGUGCCUUUUUGGGUUGUUCUAA